RNAcentral lists this transfer RNA (69 nucleotides) under Rattus norvegicus (Norway rat). It matches the Rfam family "tRNA". From Rfam's summary of the family: Transfer RNA (tRNA) molecules are approximately 80 nucleotides in length. Their secondary structure includes four short double-helical elements and three loops (D, anti-codon, and T loops). Lineage: Eukaryota; Metazoa; Chordata; Mammalia; Rodentia; Muridae. The record is from Rfam by way of RNAcentral.
GGGGAUUUAGCUCAGUGGUAGAGCGCUUGCCUAGCAAGCACAAGGCCAUGGGUUCGGUCCCCAGCUCCA